CAAUCAGCGCGCUGGUGGGAGCGUGACGCUGCGUCUCCGGACGCACAAGCGCGCUGUCCUUGUUCGGGAGAUGGAUGGCCGCCGUGUUUCGGGCUGGGUGUGGCGGCGGCGCCUAACUGUCCGCGCAGCGCUCGAGGACGCAGGCUUUGGCACCGAAGCCCGAAAUCAGAACCAACCCAGAGGCUCCCGCCAACGGUCGGGGCCCCUCGGGGACCAGCCCUUCCCGGGGCUGCUGUCAAAGAACCUCAGUCGGGAGGAGUUGGUUGAUGCGCUGCGGACAGCCGUGGUGGACCGGAAAGGACCUCUAGUGACACUGAACAAGCCACAGGGUCUUCCAGUGACAGGAAAACCAGGAGAGCUGACAUUGCUCUCAGUGCUGCCAGAGCUGAGCCAGUCCCUGGGACUUGGGGAUCGGGAGCUCCAGGUUGUCCGAGCAUCUGGGAAGGAGACCUCUGGGCUUGUACUCCUCUCCAGCUGUCCCCAGAUGACUAGUCGCCUCCAGAAGUUCUUCAUUCAUGCACGGAGAGCCCAGAGGCCCACAGCCACCUACUGUGCUGUCACUAAUGGGAUCCCAGCUACUUCUGAGGGGAAGAUCCAGACCGCCCUGAAACUGGAACACAUUGAUGGGGUCAAUCUUUCAGUUCUGGUGAAGGCCCCAUCCCGAAAGGACAUCCUGGAAGGUGUCAAGAAGACUCUUAGCCACUUUCGUGUGUUGGCCACAGGCUCUGGCUGUGCCCUGGUCCAGCUGCAGCCGCUUACAGUGUUCUCCAGUCAGCUGCAGGUGCACAUGGUACUACAGCUCUGCCCUGUGCUUGGGGACCACACGUACUCUGCCCGCGUGGGCACUGUCCUGGGCCAGCGAUUUCUGCUGCCAGCUGAGAGCACCAAGCCCCAAACACAGACAGAGUCUUGGUCUGUGGACAAGCGCCAGGCUGGAGUGCAGUGGCACAGUCUCGGCUCACUGCAACCUACGCCUCCUGCUUUCAAGCAAUUCACCUGCCUCAGCCUCCCGAGUUGCUGGGACUACAGAGACCUGAAGCCCUCUCCAGGACGCUCAGCCACAUGCCAGGCCCAUGGGAGGGCUGAAUGAGGAGUGGAUCAACUAACAAAUAGAUGGGAAGACAAGUGUCUACAUACCUGGGACAGAAAAAUGGAUGAGUAGAUGGACUGGAAGACAGAUAGGCAGGGGAGAGGAGAAUGGAAUAGGAGGUAGAGAGAUGGGCUGAUGGAUCUGUGGAAGGAUAGGUAGGCAGGGAGUGGAUAGUUGGAUGGGGAGUAUGAAGCUGACGUCAGGUAGGUGAAUGAAGAGAUUAACAAAGGGUGACAGGUGAGAGGAUGGAAGGAUGAGUGGAAGGGUGGGUGGGUAAAUUGGUAGAUCAAAGAGUGGGUGAAUAAGUGGGUGGAUGGGUGAAUGGAUGGAUGGAUGGAUGGGUGGGUGGAUGGAUGGGAUGGAUGGGUGGAUGGAUGGAUGGGUAGAUGUGAAUCAUACACAGAUGUGUGGAUGAACAAGUAGGUGGGUGGAUGGAUGGAUGGAUGGGUAGAUGUGAAUCAUACACAGAUGUGUGGAUGAACAAGUAGGUGGGUGGAUGAAUAGAUAGGUGGAAGGGCAGAUCAGUGGAAGGACAGAUGGGUGGAGGAUAAAUGAGUGGGAGAGUGGAGAUAAGCACAGUACUUACCUGUGGCUUCUUCCUCUUCUGCCUGUAUAGGGUAUGACUUCCACUCAGACUUUACCACCAGCUUGAGAACGUUGCGGGCAGCUGUCAGCCAGAAGUCUUCUGCUCCCGGGGCAUGGGAUACCCUGCUCAGCCUCUAGGCUUGAGGCCUGUUCUGGUUCUAGAACCUGAUCUUGACUUGUCCCAUUUUGGAUCUGGAAUCUGACUCUACCUUUUCUGACUCUAGAGCCUGAGUUUAGAACUUGCUCCUGUUUCAGUUGUGGAACCAAACCCCAAAUCUUACCUGACUUGGCUCAUAUUCUACCUUCAGAAUCUGGCCUGGACCCACUGUCUGAUUUAUUUCAUCUGUUCAUGAUCUAUUUUUAAUACUUAUUCUAUCCCGAGAACCAGACUGUAUCCUACUUCAGAUUUCGAAUGUAAUUUAAACCUGGCAUAGAAUCUGGAUCCAAAUUCUAACCUGAAUUUAGAACAUAUUGUGGAAUUGGAACCUAGUCUGCCUUAGAAACCCAAAGCCUGCUGCCUUCUUUGGAACCCAAUUCAACUAGUGGAACUUGACAUAAGCCUGGAAUCUGUUCUGGAUUCCAAACUCAAGGGACUGAGCAACUUUUAGAACCUGUUCUACAAUAUAAACCAUGCUACCUGAGCUUUUCUGGAGGUCAGAGUUGACCAGACUAAGGGGCUCAUUAAGGGAGGACACAUUAGGGAAGGAUAAAGAUUGAGGGUAGGGAAGGAAGUCUGCUGGGACAGAUAAGGGCAUGAAGAGAGUCCUGCUGCUCUCCAAUAUGAGCUACGUCUUUAGCCCUGCUCCUUCAGCCUCAGGUCCAGGCAUGGGGCUGGGGUCUCCUUACCUAUGAAGGCUUUUUUGUCAUCCUCAGCCCCCAGGCGGUAGCAGCGUGGGAAGAAGGAGUCAGCAUCAGCCUCAUAAAACCAUGGCAAAUUCCGGAGAUUGAGACAUAGACCCACCUAUGGAGUUAGCCGCUGAGGGGGCAGGACAGGACUGCCCACACUCAGCACACAUCCAGACAGCUCAGAAAGCAUCCCACCCGGAUGCUCUCAGAGCCUUGGGCCCACUCGCUUGGUCUGACUUGCUCACAUCUAUCACUGUAUGUUUGCCUGGGCCACGAAUGUCUGACAUCCCUCCUGUCCACCCUUUCACAUUCUUAAAGAGCUGCCAAGGCCAGGUGCGGUAGUUCACACCUGUAAUCCCAGCACUCUGGGAGGCUGAGGUGGGAGGAUUGUCUGAGGCCAGAGGCCAGGAGUUCAAGACCAGCCUGGGCAACAUAGCAAGACCCCAUCUCUUAAAAAUAAAACAAAAAAAGAGCUGCUUCCUCUAGAAUCCUUCUUAACCCACAUCAAUAAUAUAAUGGCAGGUCAUUAUUAUAAAGCCCUUCGUCCUUGCCACAACCCCAGAAGAUAGGCCUUACUGAUAUUCUCAUUGAAAGGUGAGGAAACUGAGACUCAGAGAGGCAAAGUUACUUAAUAAGAAACCCAGGUAAGGCUGGGCAUGGCGGCUCAUGCCUGUAAUCCCAGCACUUUGGGAAGCGGAGGGAGGUGGAUCACCUGAGGUCAUGAGUUGGAGACCAGCUUGGCCAACAUGGUGAAGCGCCGUCUCUACUAACAAAUACAAAAAUCAGCCAGAUGUGGUGACAUGCACCUGUAGUCACAGCUACUCAGGAGGCUGAGGCAGGAGAACUGCUUGAACCCAGGAGACAGAGGUUGCAGUAGGCCGAGAUUGCACCACUGAACUUUUCUCAAAAACAAAAUAAAACAAAACAAAAACAAAGAAACCUAGGUAAGACAGAAUGGGUCCAUUAGCCAGAUAUCUUUGGCUUAGGAGGUAAGAGCCUGCUUGUUCACUAUCACUGGACUUGGUGACUGUUCUACCUCCAGACCCAUUUGAAUGCUGGAACAUAUUUUAGUCACUAUGUCUAUACAUGCCAGAUACCGCACAGGGGUUGGAUUUGAACCAGUCAGAUACUGGUCAGACUUCAAAUCUGAAUUAUAUACUUCCUCUUGCACUGAGAACUUCCUCUUACUGACAAGGAGAGUGGGGAGCAGAGCUGCCAACCCAAGGGCAAGGAGUUGGAAGCUGCCCUGCCUGCUCUGGGGAGCCUACCUUUGUGGUAAAGGAGCCAGCCCGGGCGUAGUGGUUUAUCAUCUGAUCCUUAGAGAGGAAGCGAUAGUCAAGCACGUCCCGCCGAGUGGUCCAGAUGAAGUAGGGAGUCUCAUUCCGAACCAUGCGAGACUAGAGAGAAGGGGAGGAGAUAGAAAGAGACCAGUGUGGGUAGCAGGGCUGAAGGCAGCUUCUCCCUGUCCUGCUGAGCAGGGUGGGUGAACAGGAAGGAGAGGAUGCAGAUGCUUCCAAGGUGGCCUCUAGCCCAUACAUCAUCUUUGUGUAAGGCAAGAAAAGACUUCUCUUCCACCAGGGCACAGGAGGGCAGAGAGCAGGCCAGCCUUUCAACCUCCUUUUGGUCUUAGGGAGGCCAAAGGCUCCCUUCUGCCUCCUUUUGUCACUGUUUAAGGUGUCCUAUGAGGCUUGUCAUUCUCAGCCUCCAGGCAGUAGCAGUGUGAGAAGGAGUUAGCAUCAGCCUCAUCAAACCACAACAAAUUCCGAAGACUAAGACAUAGACCCACCUAUGGAGUUAGCCGCUGAAGGGGCAGGGCCCCUAAGGGUGUUCCCAAGCAGUGACAAAGCUACACAACUUGUUUUGGCCCAUGGUCAUCAGUGACUUGCCCAGGGACAGGACGGUGACUCCAAGCAGAUGGGCACACAGCCUGUGACAAAGGCUAUCUCAUGGACCCCACCUCUCCAUCCUUCCUACAACUCUGGGAUGUGGGAUAAUUAUUAAUAACUAGUGUCAGCAUAUGUCUUUCUAAGCACCUUUCAUGUCAGUUCAUUCAAGGCUCACCACAAUUCUGUGUGGUAGGGGCUACUGUUAUCUGUUUCACAGAUGAGGAAACCGAGGCACAGGGAGGCAAGUAACUUGCCCAAGGGCUCAUGAGAUUGAUCCAUAUGAAGUUGCCAAUAUUCAACCAUUCCUGACAUAGAGAAAUGGCUUUUUUUUUUUUUUUUUGAGAUGGAGUCUGACUCUGUUACCCAGGCUGGAGUGAAGUGGUGUGAUCUUGACUCACUGCAACCUCCGUCUCCUGGGUUCAAGUGAUUCUUCUACCUCAGCUUCCCUAGUAGCUGGGAUUACAGGCAUGCACCACCAUGCCCAGAUAAUUUUUUUUUGUAUUUUUAGUAGAGACGGGGUUUCACCCUGUUCCCCAGGCUGGUCUUGAACACCUGACCUCAAAUGAUCUGCCCACCUUGGCCUCCCAAAGCACUGGGAUUACAGGCAUGACCCACUGUGCCCAUCCAGAAAUGGCAAUUUUGUAUAAUUCAACUCAGUAAGUGGCACUGCCAGGAUGCAAACCUCAACAUGCAUACCAUCACAACCAUCUCUUUCAGAUUUUUUUGUUUUUUUUGUGGGUUUUUUUUUCUUGAGACAGAGUCUCACUCUGUUGCCUAGGCUGGAAUGAGCGCAGUGGUGUGAUCUUGGCCCACUGCAACCUCUGCCUCCCAGUUUCAAGCAAGUCUCCUGCCUCAGCCUGCCAAGUAGCUGGGACUACAGGUGCAUGCCACCACCCCUAGCUAAUUUUUUGUAUUUUUAGUAGACACUGUUUUACCAGGUUAGCCAGGAUGGUCUUGAUCUCCUGACCUUGUUAUCUGCCCACCUUGGCCUCCCUCCCAAAGUGCUGGGAUUACAGGCGUGAGCCACCGCGCCCAGCCUUUUUUUUUUUCAGAUGAAAUAUCACUUGUUCUGUCACCCAGGCUGCGGUACACCAGUGCAAUCUCAGCUCACUACAACCUCUGCCUCCCAGGUUCAAGCAAUUCUCCUGCCUUAGCCGCCUGAGUAGCUGUGUUUACAGGUGCCCGCCAGCACACCUGGCUAACUUUUGUAUUUUUAUUUUUGAGAUGGAGUCUCACUCUGUUGCCCAGGCUGGAAUGCAGUGGUGUGAUCUCUGGUCACUGCAACCUUUGUUACCCAGAUUCAAGCAAUUCUCUUGCCUCAGCCUCCCAAGUAGCUGGGAUUACAGGCAUGUGCCACUAUACCCAGUUAAUUUUUCUACCUUUUUAGUAGAGAUGGGGUUUCACCAUGUUGGCCAGGUUAGUCUCGAACUGACCUCAGGAGUUCGAGAUGUUCCACCAGCCUCGGCCUCCCAAUGUGCUAGGAGUAUAGGCAUGAGCCACUGUACCCGGCCUUUAUUUUAUUUUUUGAGAUAGAAUCUCCCUCUGUCACCCAGGCUGGGGUGCAGUGGUGUGAUCUCAGCUCACAGCAACCUCCACCUCCCAGGUUCAAGCAAUUCUCCUGCCUCAGCCUCCUGAGUAGGGAUUACAGGUGCUUGCCACCACACCCGGCUAAUUUUUUUUUUUGGUAGAGACGAGGUUUCACCUUGUUGGCCAGGCUGGUCUCAAACUCCUGAUCUCAGGGAUCGGCCCCCCUUGGCCUCCUAAAGUACUGGGAUUACAGACGUAAGCCACCCUGCUCAGCCUCUUCCAGAGCUUUUGAAGCCCUUCCUUCCUGCCUUCACUUACCAAGAGCAGAAGAAGGGGAACUAUGCGGGUUUUUAUUUGAAGGGGGAGCUAUCAUACAUGGAGGCUGUGCUGGCAUCUGAUAUGACCUAGCAGAGUUCUGAAUCCAGGCCAGAUGGGACACAGCCCUGCUGUGUCCCUCCUUACUCUGCAGGCCUAGCCAGCCUUUAUUCACUUAUUCCUUUUUCAGAGAUAGAGUCUUGCUCUGCUGCCCAGGCUGCAGUGCAGUAGCAGGCUCAUAGCUCACUGCAGCCUGUAACUCCCAGGUAACCUCCCAAGUAGCUAGGACUAUAGGAACACACCACCACACCUGGAUAAUGUUUUUCUACAUUUUUUGUAGAGACUGGGUCUUACUAUGUUUCCCAGGCUGGUCUUGAACUCCUAGCCUCAAGUGAUCCUCCCACCUCAGCCUCCUCAUUAGCUGGGACCACAGGCAUGAGCCACCAUGCCUAGCUCUAUUCAGCCUUUAAAGAGGCAGUUUUUACUAUAGAUAGGGAAACUGUGGCCCAGAAAAAAAGGACUUGUCUGAGUUCACCCAGCUGGACACCAGUGCUCUCCCUCUAAGCAGGCAGCCCUUGCUUCAUCUUGGCCCCCAGGGCCCUCACCAUCAGAGAAUGUGUUCCAUCUAGGUCAUCAAAUUUCAGUAAAUCAUCGAAGUCGAACACCUGUGGUGGCUGGAACUCCUCAUACUCAUCUUCAUCCUCUGUGGAUGCAGAGCCCAGAGCUGAUGAGGCCCCUCUCCCUGACCCAUAGCCCAUAAGGCCUCCACCCUGGGACAGUGGGAACCAAAGGAAAGGGACUCAGAAGGGACAGCUGCGGAAAGGGAGGGAACAGCUCACCAUCCUCAGUGGUGUCACUGUUACCCAUCACUGAGCUAUCCGGAUCCUUCUGGAGUGGCAGCAGGGUGGAGCCUGAGCAAUGGACCAUCUUCUUCUCCACCCAGCCCCUCUGGCGCAAGAGACACCGGAUCACCGGGUAGCGGCCUUGGAUGGUAAAGAUCUUCUUCUGCUACAAGGGUCUCACUCCAUUGCCCAGGCAGUAUCGUGGCACGAUCUUCACUGCACCCUCUGCUCCUAGGUUCAAGCAAUUCUCCUGCCUAAGCCUCCCUGAGUACCUAGGAUUACAGGAUGUAAGAAAAUACCGCAGGGAGACGGGCUGAACCGCUCCCAGGGUCCUUUCUAAGCGCCCCCGCCCAUCCUCCGACCUUGACAGCUCUCUCCACGUGGAUUUUGGCAUUUUGGAGCCGGUUCAUGUUAGACGCCUUGGAGAAUCGUCGCCAGACGACUGGGGAACCUGCAGAAAGAUGCGGAGUAGGGGUGGGUAGACUGGGGUUUGGUCUAGGGUCUCCGCCUAGGAUCUUUUCUGGCAGCCGAUAGCCAAGCCUCUUCUCUUCCUCCCGCCUUCAUCCGGAUGCCCACCCUCGGCCGCUUUUCUCCCGAUCCCUAUUCCCUCCACCCCAGUGUCUUCUCCUCCUCGCAGCCGCCGUAGGCCAGGGCAAGCGGGUCGCACGGGGCCUCACCAUCCUGCGGCAAGGGGUCAUCCAGGACCAGGGUGUGUGGGGAGUCGAGGGGGUGGGGAUCCACGUCGCCCUGGGCUUGGGUGCGGAGGACCAGGGUCUUGAAGGCGCGGCCAAGGCGGCAAGCAGGGGCGGGGCUGCCCGCCUUGCAUCUGACGCCUGCCCGACCCGCCUCGGGCAGGGCGGAGGCGGGGCCUGGCCAAGGAGGCCUCCCUGGCAGACGGAAAUCGGAGCGGCGUGCGGAGGGUAAACUGGUGCGUGGCUCGGGAGGCUGCAGCUUCCACAGCCGGUGGCACACUGAGCCGCCCUUCUGGCAGUACCAGGAGGCCUAGCCCCAGCGCCCAGGCCCCAGUUCCCCCGCGCUCAGGAGCGGUGGUGCGCCGGGGCCCUGCAUGUGCCCCUCGCCGCGCGCACCCUCCCAGCACCGCUGAUCCUGCCUCCCCUCCGCGUCGCCGCCUCCUCUCCCAGGAGGGCCCUGCCCAGGCUCGAGCCCUGUCCUUCAUUCCAAGCCCCGCCCCGUUUGCUGUUACCUUGGAAACCAUUCCCUGGGAACCAUCAGACCGCUCCCAGCUGGUUUGGGGGCUGCGGUGGGCCCUGAGGCAGUCGAGCGAGGGCUUCUCUAGAAACUGGGGCCUCACCCAGACCGUCGAUAAGCGGGGCACUCAAGGUGGAAGACAGCACUGAGUCCCACUUUAAGUUAGUGUCACGGUUCCUUAUCCAAUACUUCCUGGGUGCCACCGCCCUUAGGGCUUGAGUGAUUCCACAGUAUUUAUAGGCGCUAACGAAUGGUCCCUGACCUCAUGGAGUUUACAUCCCAGUGCGAGGGGAAUAAGAAGCAAGUAACAAAAGAAGAGAAUAGUGACAGGUAUAAUAAGGACAGUCAACAAGCAGAGGUGAAACCAGGAAGGGGGGCACAUUUUAGGUAAGGUGGGGGUAGAGGAUGUCCUCUCUAAAGAGGUGACACAUUUAAGUUGAAGGUGUAAAUUCGAGGAGUCACAAGUCACCAGGGAAAGGGGAGGAACAGUACUUCAGACAGGGGACAGUCCCAGCAACAGCUCUGAGGAGGGUAAGAACCUCUGUGCAAACCACAAGGCAGCUAAUGUGGCUGGAGCCUGGUGAGGCCAGAUCAGACCUGCCAGGCCUGGCAGAUGGGCCUAGGGUAGUGUGUCCUUAGAGAGGGCAGCAUAUGGGGGUAACAAGAAAGUGCAGAGCAUACCUUCCCCAGGAACUUGAAAAUGGAAAAACAUCAUCUGAGUCAAUUGCAAAAGAAAUGUAACAGAUCAGUUAUGCCCAACCCCCAGGCUAAGAGUAAGUAACCUCUUUGGAAGCACUGGAAAAGAAUUAUCCUCAAAAGUUUAAGGCUCCGAGAUGUUAAACAAUUUGCCUCAAAUACCAGAGCAGAGGCGACACUGGAACCCAGUUCUGACUCCAAAGCCUGUCUCUUAAACAUCCCUCUAUAUUAUCACUCAGAAGGUUGCCUUGUUAGUCACAGAAGGACCUCACAGGGGCAGUUUAAGAGGCAAACUCUAGCAGCGUCCAUGCAGGCAGAGUUGGAUACGAGUACCCUGGCCCAAGAGCCCAGCUUUGUUAGUCACUGGGUAUGAGUGAAGGUGGAUCCCCCAACUCUCUGUCCAGCUGCCCCCAACCCCCCUUAGCUGAUGGCUAGACUUCCUGAAAAGUAUACUCCCCAGGAGAGGCAAUUUAGGGAAUUUGGACCCUGGGAGAUAAGUGACAAAUGAGGGUUUUGGCUGGUUCAUGCAGGCAAUGCUUUCCGGUAAGGGUUGUUGAGUGGCCCUAUCAGUCACCCAGUUUCACUGUGAGCACCUUUAACAUUCACUGCAAAGCUAGAACAGAGUCAUAUGCCCUGGAGGGGAACACCUAAUUUGGAGAGGUAGGGGGGUAGGUCACAGAGGUAAUGUCAUAAAGGGGAUGAUAGCACUUUGGGAGGCUGAGGCAGGAGGAUCACCCAAGGCAGGCCAGGCAACAGAGAGACCUUAAAAAAAAAUUAGCUGGGCAUGGUAGUGGCACAGGCCUGUGGUACUAGCUACUCAGGAAGCUGAGGUCAGAGAAUCACUUGAGCCCAGGGAAGCUGAGGCUGCAGUGAGCCAUGACUGUGCCACUGCAUUCCAGCCUGGGUGACAGUGCGAGACCCUAUCUCAAAAAUGAAAAAAAGAAAAAAAAGGGAGGGGGACAAUAGUUAUUUAUGUUGCCCUCACCCCCUGCCUUUAACGUCACCCUUUCAAGAGACCCCUUUGGCCAUCUGGAGGAAUCCCUUUUGAAAGCUCACCUCAGCUGGGUGCGGUGGCUCACUCCUGUAAUACCAGCACUUUGGGAGGCUGAGGCGGGCGGAUCACAAGGUCAGGAGAUCAAGACCAUCAUGGCCAGCAUGGUGAAACAACAUCUCUACUAAAAUACAUAAACUUAGCUGGGUGUGGUGGUGCGUGUCUGUAAUCCCAGCUUCUCGGGAGGCUGAGGGAGAGGAAUCGCUUGAACCCGGGAGGCGGAGGUUGCAGUGAGCUGAGAUCGCAUCACUGCACUCCAAGCUGGCAACAGAGUUAAGACUCCGUCUCAAAAAAAAAAAGCUCAACUCAAAGGUUAACUCUUCUUGAAGCUUACGCUGACAUCCUCUCCUAUAAAUAAUCCCUCUUUGGCCCCCAGACUUCCAAUAUUAAAUAUGAAACACUUCAGUGCACCUUUUACACAUCUAGCUCUUUUCCUGGACCUCCCAAGUCUGAAUGCAAUAACAUCAUGAACACUGGAAAUUAUUCAACAGCCCAGCCACUGGGCUGGUAGAACAAACAACUACAAUUCAGUCAGUGCCUGUGUGGCAGGGACCAUGUCAGAUUAUUCAUAUUCAUUAUCUCCACUUUAUAGACUAAGAAACUGAGACACAAUAGAAAUAACUUGCCCAAAUCUGGCAAGAUUCAGGACUCAAACACAAGGGGUUUUUUACUUCAAGAUGUUACUUGAAGGCUGCACUAGGUAGCACUAGCCAACAUAACUUUCUGCAGUGAUGGGAAUGUCUAUCUAUGUGUUGUAUAUGCUGUGUCUAUAUGCAAGUCUAUAUAUGCUGUUGUAGAUGGUACAGUCACUGGUAGCUGCUAAGUUGCCAGUGGGACCGGGGAACUAGAUUUUAAACCUUUUUUAAUUGUAAUAAUUAAAACUGAAAUAGCCACUCGUGGAUGGUGAUUACUGUUUUAACACAGGCCAAAGUCUACUCUUGCUCACUGGCUGAGAUUUGAGGCAAGCUAUUACAUCUCAUGUCUGGAACCUCAGUUUCCUUAUCCACCAAAUGGGAGCACUGUUUCUCUGUGGUUACUUUUUAGCUCAAGUAAGAUCAUUAUGUGAAAAACACCAAAGCUCUGAACGUUCAGGCAGAGAGAACAGUUUCAAAAAUGAAUGGUGCCUGGACUGCAAUGAAAGGGGUCUCUGGAUUGGGGCCCCUGGCAGGAAUAAUGACAGGACCAAUCAUGAGACUGCACCCAGUGGAGAGCUCCAGGCACAAUUACCAGCCAUCAGGGAAAAUCAGCCCCACCUCCCCUCCUUUCACACAAACACACAGAGCAUAGACCUCAUGCAGCCCCAAAGGGGCAAAAAGAGACUUUAAUUAGGGGAGAGAGGACCCACCAGAAUUAGAAAAGGGACAGCUAGCGUGGGAGCAGAAGAGCCAGAGCAGGCAGGAGGAGGACCCGGCUGGGAAGCUCUGGAGGAGGACUCACCUUGCCACUAUGGCAGGCACUGCACUGACAAAGGCGAAACAGUGGCCCCUCUCAACUGGGAGGGUACCCAAUGGCCCCUAUAGCCAGAGGUUGCCUGGCUUUUGGGCCCCAGGUCCUAGGCAUGACUGGUGGUCCCCAAUUUGGCCCUUGUCCCCAACCAGUGCUGGGUGGCCAUCUUCAGGCAGAACUCAGGAAGCUGGCAGAGGGUUCCCACCACAUAUACUGUGCCCAAGGAGGCUUCGGAAUAAAAGAGCAAGGGAGAGGAACUGGAAUCUGAAACUUCCCUCCCUCCCCACGUGGGAUGGCACAGGAGAGGAAAAAUAGUCGCCUUCUGGGCUCCAGGCCCGCCCAGACCCACAGCAACCAAUAAGGGACAAUCACUGGGACCAGUCACAGCCACUGGAGGUGGAGGUUACUUUAAAAAAAAAAAAAAAAAAAAGACAAAAA
This is a non-coding RNA of Callithrix jacchus (white-tufted-ear marmoset), 11931 nucleotides long. The record is from RefSeq and is a predicted model, not a curated record. Lineage: Eukaryota; Metazoa; Chordata; Mammalia; Primates; Cebidae.